RNAcentral lists this ribosomal RNA (497 nucleotides) under uncultured bacterium. RNAcentral's name for it is "partial 16S ribosomal RNA". It matches the Rfam family "Bacterial small subunit ribosomal RNA", at positions 28 to 507 of the family's 1533-position model. The record is from RNAcentral.
GAUGAACGCUGGCGGCGUGCCUAAUACAUGCAAGUCGAGCGAACAGAUGAGGAGCUUGCUCCUCUGACGUUAGCGGCGGACGGGUGAGUAACACGUGGAUAACCUACCUAUAAGACUGGGAUAACUUCGGGAAACCGGAGCUAAUACCGGAUAAUAUAUUGAACCGCAUGGUUCAAUAGUGAAAGACGGUUUUGCUGUCACUUAUAGAUGGAUCCGCGCCGCAUUAGCUAGUUGGUAAGGUAACGGCUUACCAAGGCAACGAUGCGUAGCCGACCUGAGAGGGUGAUCGGCCACACUGGAACUGAGACACGGUCCAGACUCCUACGGGAGGCAGCAGUAGGGAAUCUUCCGCAAUGGGCGAAAGCCUGACGGAGCCACGCCGCGUGAGUGAUGAAGGUCUUCGGAUCGUAAAACUCUGUUAUUAGGGAAGAACAAAUGUGUAAGUAACUAUGCACGUCUUGACGGUACCUAAUCAGAAAGCCACGGCUAACUACGUG